Molecule: RNA transcript, 1904 nt
Organism: Phymastichus coffea
Lineage: Eukaryota; Metazoa; Arthropoda; Insecta; Hymenoptera; Eulophidae
Gene name: venom serine protease-like
Exons: 5
Source: RefSeq, a predicted model, not a curated record
GGUGCACAUUUAAGUUCCGCUCGUGCGUGGAACUCACGACUACCGUUAAAGAUGCCAUGACUUAGUUGCUAUGUUUUCUUCUCCAAUGAUAUUUUAAUAAUUGGAUCCAAGAGUUUCACCAUCGCUUGAGGUCUCUUCUUGUAUAACGAUGAGAAAUUUCGUCUAUUAUUUUGUGCAAAUUGCGGGAUUAUCACUUCAUUUUAGCAUUGCCGAGCCAAUAAGAGGUGAUAACGUGGUUGCGGUAGAAAAAGGUGAAUUUCCAUUUGUCGUUGCGCUCAUCACGAAAACUAACUGUUCGAACAGUCAUCGCAACUUCUUUUGCACUGGUGUACUCAUCUCGAAUAGGCACGUUUUGACAGCUGCUCACUGUUUGGAAAAAUUUCAACCAAACGACACGCAGGUUGUUUUGGGCUCCGUCGACCUAACAAUUGGUACGAGGUACAAUGUGAGUAAAUGGAUAACUUACGCUGAAUGGCUCAAUAUGACAGGAAUUGUUAAUGUACCCCGGGAAAUGGACGUUGCGAUUGUGAAGCUGUUAGAGGAUGUGGACAAUAACGUGGCACCAGCUAAGUUGUCGAAGAAAACACGCUCUACAUUAUAUCAACGAAACGUUACGGUGUUAGGAUGGGGUCAGACAAGUUUGGACUCCACAGAAAAACCAAGAUAUUUGAAAAAGGCGCGUGUUACAGUACUGAAGAAGGAACAGUGCGAACACAUUGUACUCGAGCUGACAAAUAAACAAAUUUUUGUGGAAAAGACCAUCUUCUGUACCAAAGCUGAACCAUUUGCUGUGCUGAGUUGCGGUGACAGUGGAGGUCCAAUCGUCACUGAAAAGGGGUCAGUCGUCGGGAUAAACGUAGCCGUUUGCCCAGAACAAAGCCUAAUGAGUCAGCAUCAGAUAAAUCUCGUUAUGAAUGUUCACGAGAGUGUGGUCGCCUGCAUGUCAUUCAUAAAGGAUAUAUUACGGAACUUCUAAUAAUCAUCGUAUCGACGAGCAAGGAUCGCUUUUGCAAAGCAAUAGAUAAUAUUAUUGAGUUGGCGAUUAUUGUCAUUCCUCUUUUUUCAUCCAUGCCAUGUUAACACGUACCAUCACUUGGCUUUCUUUUCAGUUCUCUUUGUGAAAUGAUGUCUAUAUAUUUCUAGUUAUGACUAUUGAAUACCUUUACAAAUGCCCUUAAUUGGAUUACUAUGCAUCUUUCGUACCAGAUGUAUGUAUCUCUUUUCCAAGAGGAUUUAUAGACAAAUAUCGAUUGAUGAAAUUCAUUUUCACGUGAUAACACUUAAGCAUCCAGCCUUGGUCAAUUUAAUUGCAAUAGCAACUCAUUUACAAUUAGUGAAAAAAUUUAAUAAAACGUAUAACUUGGUAGGCGAGGGCUGUACGAAAACAGAAAAUAAUGUAUUGUAUGAAACAUAAGAGUAUAAUAUCGUUGUGGAUCGCUCCAAUACGCAAUACUUGUUUAUAAAUUAAUAAAAUAAAGUAAAGAAAAAUAAUCAUUCGGUGAUAGAGAAAAAUAAUUUUUCCAAUGAACGUAUGCUUUUAUCAUACCUACAGAAAGUUUUUAAGUUACAUUUUUAUUCAAAAUCGUUUUCAGUUCUUUCAUGACUAAUUCCAGAAAAUAAAUGAAACAAAAACAACGUAAAAUAUAUAUCGACCUAUAGUACCAUGUAGUACUUGACACAAAUUGUGAAAGUUACAAAUCACAAGUCCGAAUCGUUUUAAUAUUUGGUGUGUUCACUUCUCAGAUUUGACAACGAGAUACCUAUCAUGACGCAAUGACCAAACGACGAUGCACAUUAAAGCUCCACUCACGCGUGUAACUCACGACUACCGUUAAAGAUGCCAUGACUUAGUUGCUACGUUUUCUUCUCCAAUGACAUUUUAAUAAUUGGAUCCAAGAGUUUCA